RNAcentral lists this unclassified non-coding RNA (136 nucleotides) under rhizosphere metagenome. RNAcentral's name for it is "partial ribosomal RNA internal transcribed spacer region". The record is from RNAcentral.
GUAGGUGAACCUGCGGAAGGAUCAUUGGGGAGAGUGGGGUGAUGAGGGGAGAGAAGAGUUGGAAUGAGCAAUGAACCAAAUUAUUAUCUAAUUCAACAAACAAACACAACUGCUGACAAUGGAUCUCUGGGCUCUU